UACGGAGGAUCCAAGCGUUAUCCGGAAUCAUUGGGUUUAAAGGGUCCGUAGGCGGUUUUGUAAGUCAGUGGUGAAAGCCCAUCGCUCAACGGUGGAACGGCCAUUAAUACUGCAAGACUUGAAUUAUUGGGAAGUAACUAGAAUAUGUAGUGUAGCGGUGAAAUGCUUAGAGAUUACAUGGAAUACCAAUUGCGAAGGCAGGUUACUACCAAUAUAUUGACGCUGAUGGACGAAAGCGUGGGGAGCGAACAGG
RNAcentral lists this ribosomal RNA (253 nucleotides) under uncultured bacterium. RNAcentral describes it as "partial 16S ribosomal RNA". It matches the Rfam family "Bacterial small subunit ribosomal RNA", at positions 524 to 776 of the family's 1533-position model. The record is from RNAcentral.